UACGAAGGGGGCUAGCGUUGUUCGGAAUUACUGGGCGUAAAGCGCACGUAGGCGGACAUUUAAGUCAGGGGUGAAAUCCCGGGGCUCAACCCCGGAACUGCCUUUGAUACUGGGUGUCUAGAGUCCGGAAGAGGUGAGUGGAAUUCCGAGUGUAGAGGUGAAAUUCGUAGAUAUUCGGAGGAACACCAGUGGCGAAGGCGGCUCACUGGUCCGGUACUGACGCUGAGGUGCGAAAGCGUGGGGAGCAAACAGGAUUAGAAACCCCCGUAGUCC
RNAcentral lists this ribosomal RNA (273 nucleotides) under uncultured bacterium. Its description in RNAcentral is "partial 16S ribosomal RNA". It matches the Rfam family "Bacterial small subunit ribosomal RNA", at positions 524 to 796 of the family's 1533-position model. The record is from RNAcentral.